Molecule: long non-coding RNA, 1640 nt
Organism: Mirounga angustirostris (Northern elephant seal)
Lineage: Eukaryota; Metazoa; Chordata; Mammalia; Carnivora; Phocidae
Exons: 5
Source: RefSeq, a predicted model, not a curated record
AGCCCAAGCCAUAAGAAGCCAUGUGGGCCGUCUACUCACCAGCCCCGCUGAGCUCAAAGCCAACUGGCCGCCGUGUGAGUCAGUCAUCUUGAACCUCCAGCCCCGUGAAGCCUUCAGCCCCAGGCACCAUCCGAAUGCAAGCACAGGAGAAAUCCCGAGUGAGAACCACCCAGCUGAACCAGUCGGCCAGGGGAGUCGGGAGACGCGAGAGGAAGUUGCUUCAGCCACCACGUCUGGGGAGAGCAAUAAAGGAGAGUCUCCCUUGCUGCACAUCCUUUGCCAGCAUCUGGUGUUCUCAGUGUUCUGGAUUUGGGCCGUUCUAAUAGAGAGAGAGAAAGAGGGAGCACGCAUGCAUGCCCACAAGCAGGAGGGGCAGCAGGCAAAAGAAGAGGGAGAAGCAGACUCCCCUUUGAGCAGGGAGUCUGAUGCUGGGCUCCAUCCCAGGACCGUGGGAUCAUAACCUGAGCCAAAGGCAGAUGCUUAACCAACUGAGCCACCCAGGAAAACCAUGCCCCAGCUGAAUCAGAGAUUACAAGGGGCUCCCAUUCUGAGCCUGAAGAUCUUCCCUCUCCUCCUCCUGAGUUUUCUCAGCCUCUUUCCCCAGGGAAAUUUUAUUUAUUUGACAGAGAGAGACACAGCGAGAGAGGGAACACAAGCAGUGGGAGUGGAAGAGGGAGAAGCAGGCUUCUCACGGAGCAGGGAGCCCGAUGCGGGGCUCGAUCCCAGGACCCUGGGACCAUGACCUGAGCCGAAGGCAGACGCUUAACAACUGAGCCACCCAGCGCCCCUGUUAUUUAACUGUUCUAAAUAACUUAUUCCUUGGCCAAAUUAGAGUGCUCCUUCACGUUUUGCUCAACAGGAACUGAAUUGAAUCGAAAUAAUCCAAGCAUCAUGAUAAACCUCACUGCUCUCCAGGUAGACAGUUAAGCCUUGGAUCGAAGAGAUGGAUGUGGGAUGUCACUAAGGAAACAGAGAAAGUUCCCAUAUCCCAGUUCCUAAAGAACCCACAGGUGUUAGCACAUUGUCAACUGAAGGAAACACGGUAUGUCGGUCUGUAUGCUUUCUUUAAAAAGUUCUUAGGCACAUAACCAGUUUGCAGAGGCCCCAGUCAGCUCCAUGCUCUGGCCCCACAUUGUCAGAACACCACUCCCCACUUCCUGCUGAGGCUCCCAUAAAUACUUCGGUGGAGAUUGAAACUAAUCCUUAAUGAAGAAAGUAGAGGAGGGAAGAAGUUUGGUUUAACAUCAAAGGCAAGGAAAGGCGGAAAGAACAUUCUUCAUAGUGUUUCUAAAAAUAGCUUAAGUCAAUAAACUUCAUUCAAAGUUGUUCAAAUAUGAAAAAUUAAAUAGAAAUCUGGUGUUGUCAUUAUUCCAAGAGUUUACUAGAAAGCAAAACACAUCACCUUGAUUUGUGUGACAGCACAGACAGAAGACAAUCUCUUCUUAAGUCUUGUGCAAAAAAAACCCAUUUUGGACAACAGGGUCCACCUUUGGCUUGUGAGCAAGUUAGUUUGGGGCUUGGUAUUUGCCUGCAAGAGAGGGAUCAGGACAAAAAUGACCAACAAAAUAAAAAUGGUGGUACAUUUAUCAACUGCUUCUGUUUUCACCUUCACUUCCCAUCUGUAUGCUCUGGCUCUUCAU